UACAGAGGGUGCAAGCGUUAAUCGGAGUUACUGGGCGUAAAGGGCGCGUAGGUGGUUCGUUAAGUUGGAUGUGAAAUCCCCGGGCUCAACCUGGGAACUGCAUUCAAAACUGACGAGCUAGAGUAUGGUAGAGGGUGGUGGAAUUUCCUGUGUAGCGGUGAAAUGCGUAGAUAUUGUGAGGAACACCAGUUGCGAAGGCGGCUUUCUGGACUGUUACUGACGCUGAGGUGCGAAAGCGUGGGGAGCAAACGGG
Molecule: ribosomal RNA, 253 nt
Filed under: uncultured bacterium
Lineage: Bacteria
Description: partial 16S ribosomal RNA
Rfam family: Bacterial small subunit ribosomal RNA
Source: RNAcentral